RNAcentral lists this ribosomal RNA (253 nucleotides) under uncultured bacterium. RNAcentral describes it as "partial 16S ribosomal RNA". It matches the Rfam family "Bacterial small subunit ribosomal RNA", at positions 524 to 776 of the family's 1533-position model. The record is from RNAcentral.
UACGUAGGUGGCAAGCGUUAUCCGGAUUUAUUGGGCGUAAAGGGAGCGCAGGCGGUCUUUUAGGUCUGAUGUGAAAGCCUUCGGCUUAACCGGAGUAGUGCAUUGGAAACUGGGAGACUUGAGUGCAGAAGAGGAGAGUGGAACUCCAUGUGUAGCGGUGAAAUGCGUAGAUAUAUGGAAGAACACCAGUGGCGAAAGCGGCUCUCUGGUCUGUAACUGACGCUGAGGUUCGAAAGCGUGGGUAGCAAACAGG